This 468-nucleotide ribosomal RNA is filed under the name uncultured bacterium. RNAcentral's name for it is "partial 16S ribosomal RNA". It matches the Rfam family "Bacterial small subunit ribosomal RNA", at positions 28 to 507 of the family's 1533-position model. The record is from RNAcentral.
GACGAACGCUGGCGGCGUGCUUAACACAUGCAAGUCGAACGGAAAGGCCCUGCGUUUGUGGGGUGCUCGAGUGGCGAACGGGUGAGUAACACGUGAGUAACCUGCCCUUGACUUUGGGAUAACUUCAGGAAACUGGGGCUAAUACCGGAUAUGAGCUCCUGCUGCAUGGUGGGGGUCGGAAAGUUUCGGCGGUUGGGGAUGGACUCGCGGCUUAUCAGCUUGUUGGUGGGGUAGGGGCUUACCAAGGCUUUGACGGGUAGCCGGCCUGAGAGGGUGACCGGCCACCUUGGGACUGCGAUACGGCCCAGACUCCUACGGGAGGCAGCAGUGGGGAAUAUUGCACAAUGGGCGGAAGCCUGAUGCAGCAACGCCGCGUGCGGGAUGACGGCCUUCGGGUUGUAAACCGCUUUCGCCUGUGACGAAGCGUGAGUGACGGUAAUGGGUAAAGAAGCACCGGCUAACUACGUG